Molecule: long non-coding RNA, 1707 nt
Organism: Astatotilapia calliptera (eastern happy)
Lineage: Eukaryota; Metazoa; Chordata; Actinopteri; Cichliformes; Cichlidae
Source: Ensembl
GAAAAGGAAAACUGAAUAAAAUGGGUGUGUGGCCUAAAUGAGUGAAGAGCACAGACCUGGUGAUUAAACUCAUAGCUAAUAAGACAUAUUAGGCUUAUGUUGUGUGUUGUGCAGCUGAUGGUUGGUUUGGAGUGAAUCUAGCUGAUGAUUCUUCUCCUGUUGUGAAGUUGAUGAGGAGUUUGUGUCAUGACUUAACAAGGCCUUCUUAUUUUGAUACUUUCACAGUGCACUGAGAGUUUGGUUUGAUAAUCUUUGUUAUUUUUUUGUUUUUAUCUUUUGAACAGACACUGAUUUUGUUUGUCUAUUUCUUUUCUUUAAGCGGAUCUGCACGUCAGAAAUUAAAAGUGCUAUACGACCUGUCGAGAAAGCCGUUACAAGUGAAUUUUCUCCACAUUAAAAUGGGCUCUGGAGAAAGCCACUUAUUUGGGACAAUAUUAAAUGAGUGUCCCAGCCUAAAAAAAAAAAGGAUUCAGCAGCGAUGUAAUCCAAACUAAAGUUCUUCUUUUUCUUUUUGAGAUGACGUCAUUUUGCUGAGAGUGGAAACUAAAUGCGACGAUAGGUUCCACUAUCAGCAAAGAAAGAAUGAAUGAAUGCAUGAAUGAAUGGAAAUAAAAACAAACUGACUGACUGACUGGUAAAAGCUGACAAGACUUGACCACGACUCAAAGUUAAUCUCCACCUAGACAGGACAAAAGGGUGGAUGAAUUUAUGUGUUUCCUUUUACAGGAGCAGAAAGAUGACAGCAACAUCUGAGGUUGCAUGACGAUAAUCUGUUAAGUGCCACUUUCUGUGUCUGUGCAUUUACCAAGGGUGCUAUUCCCUACCUUGUGUUGCUUACAGAGGUAACGGUGAUACAGUGUAUACACCUGCGCAGCGCUAACAUUUACAUUUCUUUUUACGGCAGAUGAUUAAUCAUGUGAUUGAUCAUGUGAUUGAUCAUGUGAUUUAUAAGAGGAUUAGUUAAUGUUUUUCUACUACAGGAUUUCUGGGUUUAUGUGUGAGGAAAACUAUGUUUACAGGUUAUGAGUGGUGAUGCUGUUACACUGUGUUUUUGGGAAAAUGUGACGGUUACUUUGAUGAUAUGAAUAACAUUUUUCCACAGCAGUGGAUGGUUGAUUUUAUGGUCUUUUUUUUUUUUUUUUAUGGCACCUCUGGAACCUGUCGACCUGCAUUUGACCACAGUCAAUAUGUAUUGCUAAUGUUUGUUUUUCUAUGACUAGAUGUAGAGGAUUUGGCAGAAGCGGACAAGUGACAUGAGACAAACAAAUAAGAGAUGCAGUGUUUAUGGUAUAGUUGAAGAUGGGCUAUUGAGCUCAUAGUGAUUGAUGAGUUGAGUGACUUUGCUUAAGAGAAGUCACUGAUUACAUUAAUGUUAACUGAGUACAUGGGAUGAUCCAUGUUUGAGGCAAAUUAUGGUAAUAAUUGUAGUUUACUGAUUUGAGAAAACCUGCACAUGACACUUCUCUUGCUGAUGCUGAAUGUUUGUUACUCUUAUGAUAUACUUGUUUACAGGUAUGAAGUUUGAUUUCACUUCCAGAUUUUGCUUUCCAGGCCAUGAUGGUGUGUAUGCAGGCUCCUGGGAGAGCCAGGUGUUAAGCAAACUUAAUAUGCAAAACACGCUAACAUUUUUAUUGCAGGAUUAUAGGUCCAGGGUGGUGCUGCUCCAGGGGAGGCGAUGCCCUGAUGUUGCCUGGGAUAGGAUCUAGC